CAGGAUGAACGCUAGCUACAGGCUUAACACAUGCAAGUCGAGGGGAAACGACAUCGAAAGCUUGCUUUUGAUGGGCGUCGACCGGCGCACGGGUGAGUAACGCGUAUCCAACCUGCCCACCACUUGGGGAUAACCUUGCGAAAGUAAGACUAAUACCCAAUGAUAUCUCUAGAAGACAUCUGAAAGAGAUUAAAGAUUUAUCGGUGAUGGAUGGGGAUGCGUCUGAUUAGCUUGUUGGCGGGGUAACGGCCCACCAAGGCAACGAUCAGUAGGGGUUCUGAGAGGAAGGUCCCCCACAUUGGAACUGAGACACGGUCCAAACUCCUACGGGAGGCAGCAGUGAGGAAUAUUGGUCAAUGGACGAGAGUCUGAACCAGCCAAGUAGCGUGCAGGAUGACGGCCCUAUGGGUUGUAAACUGCUUUUAUAAGGGAAUAAAGUGAGUCUCGUGAGACUUUUUGCAUGUACCUUAUGAAUAAGGACCGGCUAAUUCCGUGCCAGCAGCCGCGGUAAUACGGAAGGUCCGGGCGUUAUCCGGAUUUAUUGGGUUUAAAGGGAGCGUAGGCCGGAGAUUAAGCGUGUUGUGAAAUGUAGAUGCUCAACAUCUGCACUGCAGCGCGAACUGGUUUCCUUGAGUACGCACAAAGUGGGCGGAAUUCGUGGUGUAGCGGUGAAAUGCUUAGAUAUCACGAAGAACUCCGAUUGCGAAGGCAGCUCACUGGAGCGCAACUGACGCUGAAGCUCGAAAGUGCGGGUAUCGAACAGGAUUAGAUACCCUGGUAGUCCGCACGGUAAACGAUGGAUGCCCGCUGUUGGUCUGAAUAGGUCAGCGGCCAAGCGAAAGCAUUAAGCAUCCCACCUGGGGAGUACGCCGGCAACGGUGAAACUCAAAUGAAUUGAC
RNAcentral lists this ribosomal RNA (899 nucleotides) under uncultured bacterium. RNAcentral describes it as "bacterial SSU rRNA". It matches the Rfam family "Bacterial small subunit ribosomal RNA", at positions 25 to 914 of the family's 1533-position model. The record is from RNAcentral.